UUCAGAAGCUGCCUCUGCUCUGACACUGCAGCUACCAGCAGCACUACGUAAUGACGGUCAUUAAUCAGUGCUGGUGACUUUCAUUUUUGCUCAGCUGAUGAACUUACGUGGGACGAAGCCUGUAUAGGCUGGGAUCAGUCCAGCGCUGGUGUAGAUGCUGCUGCUAGGCCAGUAAGUCUGGGGAAAUCUCUUGCCAAAGCUGUAAAUUGGGUUCCUCUCCAGCAACUGGAAAAGGAUCAAUAGCACCGUUGGUUGUAAAACACGCUGCUACAAAGCUGUGCCCUUCGAGUCCUUAUUAAAGGCAGCACUCAAACUCACAGUUCCAUUUUCUACUAUUUCUAAGCUACACUUCCCUGGGAGAUUCAGCCACCCCUCCCCACCCCGAAGUUCUGCCUUUAUGGGAUCUGGCAGCGGCCCCGCAGACUUCACACUGCAGCUCUGCAUUUGGCGCCGGCCCCAAAGCCCGGCCGUGUUGUGCUCAGAACGGUGAUGUACGGUGAUGUACUGAGACCCACUGCUGCAGUGGGCACCUCGAGCCGUGACUCUGCACGUCUGUUUGCUGUCACCCCCGUCCCAGGCUCCGCUUUUCCUUGGUGGUGAUUAACACCUAAUUCCCAGCCUGGGAGGAAGAGGAAGGCUUAGGAUGCGUGAGCUGAAGGGAGAGUGUAAAUCGGCCUCUGUCACCUGCUGUGAGGUCACACAGAGCGGGAGCUGUGUGGCAGAACCCCCCCCCCCAGGGGUCCCACUGAUGCUACGCGGCCCUGGGCGGGGGGGGGGGGGGAAGGGGCCCACGGAGCCCCACGCAGUGCUGCAGCCUCCUGCUGCCCUCCCAAAGCUGCACUGAAGCGAGAGGAUUGCACUGUUCUGCCCGAUGCAGCCAGCAAGAAAUGAUCCGCGGCGCAUCUCAGCACGUAACCUAGGGCAACCGAGAUCCAGGGCAGCAGAUUAGAGGCUCGAAGGCUGAAGCCAUCUUAGACAGAAAUUUGGUGUGAUUUCUUUUUUUUUUUUUUUUCUCCUCAUCCCUUCAGCUCCUCCUUCCAGCACCAGCAGUAACCUCAGCAGGCCUUUGUGCUGCUGGUCCUGCAAUGGGGAGCAGCAUCCGUCCCCCAAACAGGGGUUUCCUCAUGAGCAAGAGGCAGAGCUGGCGAGCAGCACAGUGGGCUGUGGCCACAUCCAGUGCAGCAGCACAGAGGAAUCUGUUAAGCACGGUGGGAGGGAGCUCGUUUCUCACGUAGGAGGAUUAUAUGGUGUGAUACAGAGGAGUGCUACAGCGAGAAGAUGGAACGGGAGCUUUACAGCAUGGAUAUUUCUCCUCAAUCCGUUGUCCACCUUUUAGAGACGAGCAAUGGUAGUAAAGGAACAAACCACCACCACCACCGCAGUGCAAAGGAUGCAUUGCAUAAGGGCGUCCUGCACCCACAGCUACGUUUUUAACAGCCUCCCGUGAACCUUAAUCCUUUUAUGAACUCAUUUACCCUCCCUCGGUGUCCCAAGGAAAUGAAGUUACAGGAUUUAAUUGCUCAUUUUUUGCAGCACGUUAACCCAGUGCUGGUUUUUUUGGCUUGCACUGAUACCCCCAAUUCUGCUGCAAACAAAACCGCUGCUGGGGGUGCAGCUGAGAGGUUACGUGGCUGCAGCCAGCCCUGUGUGCGCCCUACCUGCUGCCUGUCAAAUUCAGCCAUGGCUUCCUUCACGCCCUGCAGGUAAUUAGUGCCCAUGGCCCACCUGAAGCGCGGUAUGAAUCCAGUGUACCCUAUGGAUGGAGAUGGAACACACGCUGUGUAAGGCUCAGCCAGCAGAGCAAGAGCCGCUGCGAUAAAUACAACAUCCUGGCAGAGCACAGGAAGGAAAAACUUCCUUCAAAUCCACCCAUCUGAAUUGGAUGUCAGAGGUGAGAUUUAUUCCAAAGGCCCUUUUGUUUCUCCCCAUCCUCCCCCUCUACCUGGGAUGACCUUCUGCUGGAUCACUCUGGGCACAUCCAGCCUGGGGAGCCGCCAAUCCUCGGCUGCUGGCAGCGUCACACCUUCAGCUCUCACAGGCUCAAAAUGAAAGCAGAAAUGUCAGACGUGGCUGGUAAAACCUGCUCCCCUCCACCUCCAUCACCGCCAGAACCCGUUCGUCCCAACCGCCAUUGCUGCGGUGUCCUCCUGGUGCUCCAAAGAGCUGCUCCAGAAUUUCUAAGGCCAAAUGAAUGGGGAUUAGCACAGCCCUGAGCCAUCAGCGCUGGCUUCAGCAGAAAUGGGGCGACCAAAGCACCGUCCCGGAGAGAUGAAGUCAAAUCCCAAUGCUUCUAAGAGGGAUCCACUGGGAAACCCAGGUGAGCUGGGAACCCAUCACAACACCCUCCUGGUGAAGAGCUGUGUUUGCUGAUCCUGAAAACAUCCCUGCAACGUUGGUACUCAUCAACAUUUUAGGGAACGGCUGUGCCCCAGCAGGCCCUGGGAUGGCUGCAGCUGCCGGAGCCCUGGGAUGCCACUCUCAGCCAUAGCGUUGGGGUGGCCCUGAGCCCCUGUCCCCCCCCAUCCCCAUCCCCAUCCCCUCACACCUCCCACCCGAGGCCUCACCUGCCUGGUUCCUGCAGCUGCGCCAGCCCUGUGCCACGUGCCAUGCCCACAGGCCUCAGGGAUUGGGGGCAGCCGCCACUCCUGUCCCUGCGGUGGCCCCGAUGGGUCCCAGGCCGCACUGGGUGGGCACCCACUCAGCCCUGAGCCGCCGUGGCCAUGCUGGGGCUCCGUGUGCGUCAGAUUGGGCUCUGCCGGCCCCGGUGCGGGCGGCUUCGGCCCAAACUCCGCUUCAGGGAAGUUGGUCAGAGCUCCGGCUCUGUCAUAGGGGAAGAACCCUGCAGGGAAGCAGCAGGACGGGAUGGGACGUGGCACGGCCAGCACUGUGCCCUCAGCCCCCUCCUGCUCCCUGGGACGGGAGCGCAGACCCAGAGCACUCAGCGCCAGGCGCUCAUGGAGAACAGCAGCUCUUCCUCAUGGGAGAACUCACUGCGUCCCAUUCAUUCCUUUGUUUUUAAACAAACCAAACCCUUCCCAUUUCUGUUCUCCAAGUCAUUCCUUUCAGCCCGCAGCCACCACCGCCUUUUCCACGGCAUCCGCGCUGCUACCAGCACUGCCCACAGGAUUUGCCCUUCUGCACAGGUAUGGGGCUGUCGGCUGGCAUUUAGGUUUGUAAUCUGCCCACAGUGAUGUGAUAAAUGACACAUGUCGUACAUAACGUUAUAGGGUACAUGAACUCUGUACAACGGCACUAUCAGCUGCUGUCCAGGAUAACAGAAUCCUUGAUUAAACUGAUUUUCCAACCCAACGUGCCAGUUUUCAAGCGAGAUAACCUUCAUGUUUCCUGCAUUUCUAUUGGAAGUACUGCAUCUCUGCUUUUCUUCUUCAGCUGGCAAACCAGUUAUUGCACUGACAGGAAAAUGAGUCUCAGAACAGCUUGGGUUGGAAGAGACCUCAAAGAUCAUCCAGUUCCAACCCUCUGCCGUGGGCAGGGUUGCCAAAAAUGAAACCCCUUUGUACACAAGGAGCCUCCAAGCAACUCCUGACCAGCCUGUGCCACAUCCAUAUCCCUAUCCAUAUCCAUAUCCCUUCAGCAGUGCCUGCAUGGCCACCCUGAGCCCCGGCACAACCACAUCCCCAACAGCAUUCCAGGAAAAACUCAACACGGGACUCAAUGGGUGGGAACCAACAACGUCCUUUGUUCCCACCAACAAGGCUUUACCGAAGAUGCCAACCCUUUGGGUGCUGAGCUUGCUGGAGGCCACGUUUGCAGCACUGCUGGGGGCUCUCUGACCACAGCUGUGCGUAACGUUGUGCCUAAGGAAGGCAGGCAGUGCUGAGCAAAGCUUGCAGUGGAGGUUUGAGGAACGGAGGCAUGCGGUGCUUCUCGUGGCUGUGUUCCCAGCACGCCACCAGCGAGCAGGAGGCUGAGCUCCCAGCUGCAGACAGUGGUGGGGUUGGGAGGGAUGAGAACAAUGGCAAAGACUAAUGACAGACAUCAACCAGGUCGACUGGUUCGUUUGGUCCCUUCAAACCACUCAGUCCAAGGAAAUGCAAAUGGAAACGUCCAGGAACAAAGCCUGGGAACAACACUGCCUGGUGGAGUCCCAGUCCUGCAGAACACGGCUGGGAGGAGCAUAAGUUUGCAGGAAGCUACGAGACACAAAUUGCCAGCAGGUAAAGGUCCCUCAGUGCCACAUCUCCAGAGUUCUUGAACACCUCCAGGGACGGUGAAUCCACCACUCCCUGGGCAGCUGUGCCAAUGCAUUAUCACUCUUUUGAAGAAUAAAUGCUUCCUAAUACCCAACCUGAACCUCCCUUGGAGCAACUUGAGGCCAUUUAUCUCCAUUCCAACAAAGACAACCUGGGGUCUAACUUUGCACCCCACCAGGUGCCAACAUGCACUCACUGGCUGAGGCUUUGCCCUGAGCUCUGAGCUCCCACACGAUGUGGAGCUGUACCAACAACAGCCCCCAGGAGCCCACUGCGGGUGGCACAGACCUCACUGGUGACCAAACCCACACAACUCUGGGCUCUGCUCACCUGGGUGUGCAGGGAGGAAGGGCUGCAGGCCGUGCUGCGUCCCGCUGAAGUCCUCAAUGAACCUCGGCUUGCACAGCGGUGCCAGCACAGAGCGAGGGCUCCUCCGGAUGUGUGGGUCCGUCAGCAGGCGGUACGUGGUUUUGCCAUAGGUCUCUCCAAACUGGUAGUUGUACUGAGGGAGGAAGCCCUCAUAGCUGGAAAGGGAACAGAGACAUGGAGCCCAUGUGGAGCUGUGCAUGGGGCAGAGUGAGGGGAAGUUGAGCCCAGGGAUCUCCCGGUGUCCCUGAAACCCAAGAACUGGAGAAGGACCUGUGAUAGCACAGAGACACAACCACCCCAUCAACAAUCCCACUGUAUGCCUAUCUGGGGAUAAAGGCAGAUGAUGCACAAGGAUCAGAAGGCGAUGAGUGAGCACCUUCCAUCCCAACUGCUUUCAACAGCAGAGCCAUGCGUUACACCUGGCAGCUCUCCUGCAGUGCCUGCAGGACCUUCACUGGAGCUGGAGGAGCUCGGUGGCCUCUUCCCAUUGGCUUCCAAUACUUCUUGCAACACCAGGAAGCAGUGCAGGAUGAUAAAUCUGAGCAGAUGACGUAGCCCGAAUAAUUACAGGCCGGGCAUUGGAGCUCUGAUCGUGAACAAAGUAAUGGCAGGGCUGAGAAAGGAUUCUGUUUAUGAGCAAUGAAAAGCAAGGCAAUCUGAGGAGCUCAGGUCUGGGCUUACAGAGAACAGAUCUGCCACAAAGUGAAUCACAGCACGGCUGAUGUGAGCCGCGGUGCUCUGGGGAGGGAUCAGCACUCUGCAGGCUGAGCUGCUUUGUGCGGCUGGCAUUCUCCUUAAGAAACCAGAGCAAUCGCUCGGUUCUGCAGGUCACCAUUGCAGCCAUUGUUCUAAAAACCCAUCCCUGAGCAGCCGCCUCCAUCCCUGGUCAUGGAGCAGCGCUGGCCCCAGUCCAGGGCUGCAGGGAUGGGACGGGACAGGACAGGACGGGCAGAGCCAAUGCCCAGGAUGGGAGCACUUCUCCAUGCACGGAGCCCUCCCCUGAAUUCCUAUUGUUGGGUUUGACUUCCCAAUGCCUUCAAGCAUCUUUGAGUCAUCGCCACCGCUGCAGCAGCUUCCAUGCCAUCAAUCAGAGAGCACUGCAAAAGCCCUUCAGAAGGCUCAGCUGUGUACCACUGAGAUCCCCCCACCCUCAGCCACCAGCACAGACCCAGCAGCUCCCUGGCGAUGCGUUGCGUUCACACAAACAUUCACUCAAAGGAGAUUUUCAGAUACCUCGAUGCAAGAAUUAUUUCAGUUCUGAGCCCAAAUCCCGGAGAGCAGCGCCAGAAAUUUCCUCUCCUUGUUUUGAAGUGACGAAAGCAGUUCUGAAGUUCCCCUCAACGCCCUACAGCACUGCCUUUAAUUACAGCCUGCUGCAAGGCACUGCCUGUCCCCCCAAUCCGUGUCCCCCCCCCGAGCCACAUCCCUUCGUUAUGUGGCACGUUUAAGAGUGCCUUUAAAAAGAACAACAAUCAGAAAUCACAGAAUUCACUGUUUUAUCCCAACCUGAGCUAUUUGCGUUGGAAAUGAACCGACUUUGUGGGUGAAGCCCAGCACUUACCCAGGGAUGUGGUGCGGGUGGGGAGGGAAGAGUGGGCUCUGCCCGGGGGCUGCCAUGGCCCGGCAGUGCUCGGGGGUGGGAUGGGGGCACUCAGCAGUUACCUGGGAAACCUCUGUGAUGUUGCAUGCACUGCUGCUCUUUGGGUCCUUCUGGUUUAAUGAGAACACCACUCACUGCAGCACAGCACCGGGCAGCAGCACCAGCUGCUCCACGUCCCCGUGCCUGCAUCCAGACAGCCCCGUCCCAUCCGUGACCUCGGCAUGCAGCAGCUGCACGGCACCGCUCUGCUCCUUCCAACCCCGGGCGCAGACGUACGCUCACCAGCACUCAGACCACUGCAUCUGCCCUAAGUUAAAAAGUAAAGAAAAAAAUCCAGUGUGGGGAAAAAAAAACCAAAACGCACAUAUGUAACAAAAGCAGUGCUUAACAACCACAGGAAAAAAGAACAUGCUCUUGGACUCCUCUACCAGCAUCCUCUGCAGACCCUGAUAGCGUCGCUCCCAAAGGGUUGCUAAUCCAGCUCUGUCAGUCCUCAGGUCCCUAAACGUUUCCUAGCUCUGUCAGCCCAUAGUUUCUCACUACACAAACUGUCUGCAGCACGAGCCUACAGAAACACCUGCUAAUGUGCACAAGACUUCCAUCUGAUUGAAUGGAAUAGUUCGAGGAGACUGAAGUCUUUACUUCUAGAAUCUGUCCUUGGAUCGUGGCUCUCCGGCAGCUCCCAUCCCAACCAGGAGAGCUCCACGUGCCCAGCGAGGCGGGAUGCGUUCAUGUUUCCCAAAGGCGUACGGGUGCCGAAUAAACCCCUCACAGUAUUCCCAGGAAA
Long non-coding RNA from Gallus gallus (chicken), 6970 nucleotides. RefSeq lists it as uncharacterized. The record is from RefSeq and is a predicted model, not a curated record. The transcript has 3 exons. NCBI's taxonomy places the organism in Eukaryota, Metazoa, Chordata, Aves, Galliformes, Phasianidae.